This 538-nucleotide ribosomal RNA is filed under the name uncultured bacterium. Its description in RNAcentral is "bacterial SSU rRNA". It matches the Rfam family "Bacterial small subunit ribosomal RNA", at positions 777 to 1308 of the family's 1533-position model. The record is from RNAcentral.
AAUAGAUACCCAGGUAGUCCACGCCGUAAACGGUGGGCACUAGGUGUGGGCAACAUUCCACGUUGUCCGUGCCGCAGCUAACGCAUUAAGUGCCCCGCCUGGGGAGUACGGCCGCAAGGCUAAAACUCAAAGGAAUUGACGGGGGCCCGCACAAGCGGCGGAGCAUGUGGCUUAAUUCGACGCAACGCGAAGAACCUUACCAAGGCUUGACAUACACCGGAAACGUCUGGAGACAGGCGCCCCCUUGUGGUCGGUGUACAGGUGGUGCAUGGCUGUCGUCAGCUCGUGUCAUGAGAUGUUGGGUUAAGUCCCGCAACGAGCGCAACCCUUGUCCCGUGUUGCCAGCAGGCCCUUGUGGUGCUGGGGACUCACGGGAGACCGCCGGGGUCAACUCGGAGGAAGGUGGGGACGACGUCAAAUUAUCAUGCCCCUUAUGUCUUGGGCUGCACACGUGCUACAAUGGCCGGUACAAUGGGCUGCGAUACCGUGAGGUGGAGCGAAUCCCAAAAAGCCGGUCUCAGUUCGGAUUGGGGUCUGC